This 70-nucleotide transfer RNA is filed under the name Dipodomys ordii (Ord's kangaroo rat). It matches the Rfam family "tRNA". From Rfam's summary of the family: Transfer RNA (tRNA) molecules are approximately 80 nucleotides in length. Their secondary structure includes four short double-helical elements and three loops (D, anti-codon, and T loops). Further hydrogen bonds mediate the characteristic L-shaped molecular structure. tRNAs have two regions of fundamental functional importance: the anti-codon, which is responsible for specific mRNA codon recognition, and the 3' end, to which the tRNAs corresponding amino acid is attached (by aminoacyl-tRNA synthetases). tRNAs cope with the degeneracy of the genetic code in two manners: having more than one tRNA (with a specific anti-codon) for a particular amino acid; and 'wobble' base-pairing, i.e. permitting non-standard base-pairing at the 3rd anti-codon position. Lineage: Eukaryota; Metazoa; Chordata; Mammalia; Rodentia; Heteromyidae. The record is from Rfam by way of RNAcentral.
GGGAAGGUGGCUCAGUGGUAGAGUGCUUGCCUAGUAUGCAUGAAGCCCUAGGUUCGAUUCCUCAGUACCA